AAUAAAUGAAGCGCUACUGGAGGCAAAUUAAAAUAUCUCCCUCAGCAAAAAUGAGACUCUCGCUCAUGAUGAAAGCAUGUUUAUAGUUUUUUCUUUGAGAUUGCAAACAUCACCGACAUAGUCAUAUUCUAAAGCAUCAUCAACGCCAUCACCAAAUUCAAUGCCAUCAACACCAUCAGCGACUAGUAACAAUGUUAUACCACAGAUUUAUGGCGAAUUA
Molecule: long non-coding RNA, 220 nt
Organism: Rhagoletis zephyria (snowberry fruit fly)
Lineage: Eukaryota; Metazoa; Arthropoda; Insecta; Diptera; Tephritidae
Source: RefSeq, a predicted model, not a curated record